Molecule: ribosomal RNA, 245 nt
Filed under: uncultured bacterium
Lineage: Bacteria
Description: partial small subunit ribosomal RNA
Rfam family: Bacterial small subunit ribosomal RNA
Source: RNAcentral
AGAAUCAACGCUGGCGGCGUGCCUAACACAUGCAAGUCGAUCGAGAAAGUGGAGCAAUCCAUGAGUAAAGAGGCACACGGGUGAGUAACACGUGACUAACCUACCUUCGAGUGGGGAAUAACCUGGGGAAACCCGGGCUAAUACCGCAUAAUACCUACGGGUCAAAGGAGCAAUUCGCUUGAAGAGGGGGUCGCGGCAGAUUAGUUAGUUGGCGGGGUAAUGGCCCACCAAGACGAUGAUCUGUA